AAAUAAAUAUCCAAGUAACCUGUAGGAACACGUCAAACACUGGAGGAUGCCACAGAUGUUUAUAAACCGGCUCAUAGGCAGAGUUCCAUUAAAGCCUGGAGGCUUUAAACAACUCUGUCAUGUUAAUCAGGAACUCCUCACAGUCUCACUUAGACCACUUGGAUCAAGACUGAUCAAGACGGAUCAAGACUGAAGAGUUAAUAUAUUUUGAUGUGAGCAGAGCUUAACAUCAUGACUGGUUGUCGAUCCUAAAAGUGAAAAGUGACCUUCAAAUACUGUGUUUCAGCACUGAGGGCCUGAUCCAAAGUCUGCUGGGGAGAAAGGAGGCUUGAGCACUCUUUCCCAACAGGGUUUUUGAGAACCUCCAGAGAAAAACUGCUGACAACA
Molecule: long non-coding RNA, 387 nt
Organism: Cygnus atratus (black swan)
Lineage: Eukaryota; Metazoa; Chordata; Aves; Anseriformes; Anatidae
Exons: 3
Source: RefSeq, a predicted model, not a curated record